UGUGUGCAUGUGUGUGUGUGUGUGUGUGUGUGUGUGUACUUGUGUGUGUUUGUGUGUAUACAUGCUGUUUCUGAGAGAUAUUUUAUCAAGAGAAAAUAGAUUUAUCAAUAGGAA
Molecule: long non-coding RNA, 114 nt
Organism: Octopus sinensis (East Asian common octopus)
Lineage: Eukaryota; Metazoa; Mollusca; Cephalopoda; Octopoda; Octopodidae
Exons: 2
Source: RefSeq, a predicted model, not a curated record